This 1031-nucleotide long non-coding RNA is filed under the name Mus musculus (house mouse). Its description in RNAcentral is "long non-coding RNA chr11:110482605-110483636". The record is from RNAcentral. Lineage: Eukaryota; Metazoa; Chordata; Mammalia; Rodentia; Muridae.
GUAAGUUGGCCGGAUGAUGGUUCCAUUCCAAACACUUGUAUUUUACGAGCUUGCUGUGGGGCUCAAUUUUUUUGGACCCGUGAGCAAGGUCUUCAGUUUGCACAUGGCUGUUGGAAAAUACAUUCAGCCCUUUGAGAGGAAAGUUCUUUGCUCACGUUUCUGAGCUCUAAAACAGACUUCUAGUCUACACUGACCCACAGCUUUGAAGUCAGUGUCUCAGAUUACUGGCUGUGUGAGAGCUAUAUACCAUAUGGGAGCUGAGAUCCUAUAUAUAUAUACCCAGCAAGUUCCCCAGGUGUGGACUGGCUCAACACUCCCCUCUAGAUACCAACGAACAAACAAAUAAAUCCAUGUGUUUAUGUGUGUGUGUGUGUGUGUGUGUGUGUAUGUGUGUGUGGCAAUAAUACUCUUAAAAUUGAGUUGAAAUGGGAGGGUGGUAUUUGAUGGUAUUCAUGGCAUUUUGACACUUAGUCCUGACUGUAGGUACAGAACAAACGAAGGGAAUGCCUCUUGAUUAGCGGAAGCUGUCACCCAAAGCCCUAAGUGAGCUCAGGUCCUCUUGCAUGUCUGUGAGGUUGGCUGGGUAUCUCCCAUGCAGCUGGAGGUCUUAAGAAUCAAUGCAUCUGUGUCCAAGGAGUGGGGAAUCCAAGACCAUAAACCAUGAAGCGCUGGAGCGGCAGAGCAAGAACGGAAGAGCCCAACCCUGAGUCUGUUUAACCUCAAUUCACUAAGCCUCCUGGUAAAGGCAGUUUGACCUUAGCUGUGAAGCAUCGUAUCAGAAAGAGCACCCCCUAGUGUUAGGAUGUGCUCAUGAAAAUGACCGAGAGAUUGUCCAGGAUAGAAAGGCCCUGGCUUGCCAUGCAGCAACAGAGAGAGACUUUCUAGGGUUGCCGAUAGACUGAAUUCAGUUGGAAUAUUCCUUUCAUGAUGAUGUGUAGGAGGAAAUUCUUCCUCUUCCUACGUGAAUAUCGGGUUUGUCUGAAGGGAAUUUUUCGUCUGCAUAGUUUGCCAUUCUCUCCAACUGUAAAUGU